UUAUGAUUCCUCUAUUUAAAACAAGACAGGAGUUUCCUAUAUUUUGAAGAGAAAUAAGAGCACCUGAAAAAAAGGGCUUGCUCCAGUGCUGUCUAUAUCCAGCCUGGCUUUCUGUGAGCUGCACGGGGAAGAAAUAUUUCCAAGACACCAGUGGUUGCCAUAUCCUGACAAGGGAUACCUGGUGCCCCUCUUCCUGCCUGUCAGAUCUAAAUGUCAGCCCUUGCUCAGUCCAUGAUUUGGAGGAAAAGCCAGAAAGGAGGAAUCCUAAACCACCUGCAUAAACCCACCUGACAGUAGUGGGAGCCUAAAGAGGUAACAUACCUUAAUCUUACCUCCUUAUUUAUUAUUUUUUUUUGCUACAAGCAUUGGCACAUGUUGAAAAGAAUAUAAAACGCACUUAAUUUUCUGUCGCUUUUAAAGGCAAAGAGCAAGAAGGAGUAGAGGUUUUCUGUACAGGUACCAAUAAGGUUGUCUCCUGACUGGAAAAUGAGGAGUCAAAGAGUCCCACGGCCUUUCUGCCCCUUACACUGAAGGGAAAACGAACCGCCUGGUCAUAGGACAAAUGUUGUCUUGGGUCACCAUCAAGAUCCUGACCUGCCUAACUGAUGUGACGCAGGGAAAGGAGGUACCUCGAUGCUCAUCAAGAGGAGAACCUCAUUACUGCAGCCUGGAGAAGCCGGAGAGGUCUCCAAAGGCUUUCUAGAGGGGUCACUCUGCAGCACCAGCACCGUUACUUGUGUCAGCCUCAGGCAAGAUCCUUCCUCUUGGGAGUGACUUUCCAACCCUCUGACCUGCCAUCAGCUCCUCGCCUGGCACCACGCACCAAAGCUGCAGGUACCUUUUAUUCCGUGCGGUCUGUCAAACCUGGUGUUUCCUCUUGGGCAAGCACCUGCUGAAACUGAAACCCAACCCAACACAUAGUUG
RNAcentral lists this long non-coding RNA (924 nucleotides) under Calidris pygmaea (Spoon-billed sandpiper). RNAcentral describes it as "lncRNA (ENSCPGG00000000077.1)". The record is from RNAcentral. Lineage: Eukaryota; Metazoa; Chordata; Aves; Charadriiformes; Scolopacidae.